CUGCCGGCGACCGGCGCACGGGUGAGUAACACGUAUGGAACCUGCCCGCAGCAGGGGGAUAAGCGGAAGAAAUUCCGUCUAAUACCGCGUAACAACGUUGGGAGGCAUCUCCCGAUGUUUAAAGAUUUAUCGGCUGCGGAUGGCCAUGCGGCGCAUUAGCUAGUCGGCGGGGUAACGGCCCACCGAGGCGACGAUGCGUAGGGGUUCUGAGAGGAAGGUCCCCCACACUGGUACUGAGACACGGACCAGACUCCUACGGGAGGCAGCAG
This 269-nucleotide ribosomal RNA is filed under the name uncultured bacterium. Its description in RNAcentral is "partial 16S ribosomal RNA". It matches the Rfam family "Bacterial small subunit ribosomal RNA", at positions 85 to 354 of the family's 1533-position model. The record is from RNAcentral.